CUGCCUGCUGAAUCUGAAGGAGCAAUGCCAGCUGUCACCAUACAUCAGACAUCAUAACGUCGUUUGAAGGACAAACUGGUGGAUCAACUGAGAUGGAGGGGGAGAAGAGCCAGUAUGCACGGUUGAUGGAGUCUCUCUGGAGACAACUGACUGCUGAGGAGCUCCAGGUCAUCGGUGAGCAUCAACUACAGGAUCAUGAAGGGAUGGACACUGCAGAGGAGGAGUACCUAGAUAGCCAGCUACUGAGUGAAGAGGAUGUGGAAGAAGAGGAGAGUGAUCUCCCAUCAUCCUCAGCUGGAUGGAGGGGGAGAAGAGCCCGUAUGCAUGGUUGAUGGAGUCUCUCAGGGAAAGGAGACAACUGACCGUUGAGGAGCUCCAGGUCAUCGGUGAGCAUCAACUACAGAAUCAUGCAGGGAUGGACAUGGAGGAGUACCUGGAUAGCCAGCUACUGGGUGAAGAGGAUGUGGAAGAAGAGGAGUAGGAGGGGAGUGAUCUCCCAUCAUCCUCAGCUGAGUAACAAUGUUUGUGUUUGUGUGCACACGCGCGUGCGCAACUGCGCAUGUGCACAUUUUUUAUUGUUACAAGGGCAUUACUUGUUAUAAUAAUGACAGGAAUAGU
Long non-coding RNA from Sardina pilchardus (European sardine), 618 nucleotides. RefSeq lists it as uncharacterized. The transcript is spliced from 3 exons. The record is from RefSeq and is a predicted model, not a curated record. NCBI's taxonomy places the organism in Eukaryota, Metazoa, Chordata, Actinopteri, Clupeiformes, Clupeidae.